This 207-nucleotide long non-coding RNA is filed under the name Gossypium barbadense (sea-island cotton). Its description in RNAcentral is "long non-coding RNA (GBAR_LNC012427)". The record is from RNAcentral. Lineage: Eukaryota; Viridiplantae; Streptophyta; Magnoliopsida; Malvales; Malvaceae.
CCCGAAUGUCAUUUACCACAAUACUGGCACUCCGUUCUGUCUCGACGAUCGUUUCCAACACUGGCGACCGAAGUGACUCGUGUACUAACAGGGGGUCGGUCACGAUCUCGUCUAGAAAAACCCGAAGUGUCUCUAGACCGGCCUAAGUCAUCUCUAAAUUUCUUCGAUGACUGUUGGAAGGGCUUUCCCGAAGAUCUCUUACGAAAC